RNAcentral lists this small RNA (28 nucleotides) under Bombyx mori (domestic silkworm). RNAcentral describes it as "ovarian small RNA-3207". The record is from RNAcentral. Lineage: Eukaryota; Metazoa; Arthropoda; Insecta; Lepidoptera; Bombycidae.
UCACCAGGAUAGGUGGGCGAGCAAAGGC